Molecule: ribosomal RNA, 296 nt
Filed under: uncultured bacterium
Lineage: Bacteria
Description: partial 16S ribosomal RNA
Rfam family: Bacterial small subunit ribosomal RNA
Source: RNAcentral
GUAGUCCACGCCGUAAACGAUGGGUGCUAGGUGUCGCGGGCUUUGACCCCUGCGGUGCCGCAGCUAACGCAUUAAGCACCCCGCCUGGGAAGUACGGCCGCAAGGCUAAAACUCAAAGGAAUUGACGGGGCCCGCACAAGCGGUGGAGCAUGUGGUUUAAUUCGACGCAACGCGAAGAACCUUACCUGGGCUAGAAAACAUGAGGACCCGGUUGAAAAGUCGGGUGCUCUUCGGAGAACUCAUGGUUAGGUGCUGCAUGGCUGUCGUCAGCUCGUGUCGUGAGAUGUUGGGUUAAG